RNAcentral lists this long non-coding RNA (343 nucleotides) under Elaeis guineensis (African oil palm). RNAcentral's name for it is "long non-coding RNA (EGUI_LNC022410)". Lineage: Eukaryota; Viridiplantae; Streptophyta; Magnoliopsida; Arecales; Arecaceae. The record is from RNAcentral.
AUUGCAUGUAAUUAAUCUCUUUUGAAGAUUGAUUUUGAGAUCUUAAGUUUCUUUAAAUGCCAACAAUAAAACUUCAAUUGCUGUGGUAUAAUUCCUUUUCACCACACAAAAUAAUAGGGAGUCAUGGUCAAAAUGUAGACUCUUCACACUAUUAAAGCAAGGUAUGUCUCCUAUGCCCUCAAUGAGUCCCACUGUACUUGCUUAAUUAAACAGUUUGAAGAGAACAUCAGUAACUAAUUUUUUUUCAAAGAAAAAAACUGCAAAAAAAGAUUACAUUAUCUUAAUCCUCUUUUGUAUCUGAUCCAUCUACUAGGAUUGUCAUUUACUAAUAAUAUCACCAAAG